GCCUGGCGCAGUAGUGGGCGCCUGUAAUCCCAGCUACUUGGGAGGCUGAGGCAGGAGAAUUGCUUGAACCUGGGAGGCAGAGGUUGCAGUGAGCCGAGAUCACACCACUGUACUCUAGCCUGGGUGACAGAGUGAGACUCCAUCUCAAAAAAAAAAAAAAAAAAAAAAAAAAAGAAGAUGGAGUCUCCUCUGUUGCCCAGGCUGGAGUGCAAUGGUAUGAUCUUGGCUCACUGUAACCUCUGCCUUCCAGAUUAAAGCGAUUCUCCUCCCUCA
RNAcentral lists this small RNA (273 nucleotides) under Pan troglodytes (chimpanzee). The record is from RNAcentral. Lineage: Eukaryota; Metazoa; Chordata; Mammalia; Primates; Hominidae.